This 292-nucleotide ribosomal RNA is filed under the name uncultured bacterium. Its description in RNAcentral is "partial 16S ribosomal RNA". It matches the Rfam family "Bacterial small subunit ribosomal RNA", at positions 505 to 796 of the family's 1533-position model. The record is from RNAcentral.
GUGCCAGCAGCCGCGGUAAUACGUAGGGUGCAGGCGUUAAUCGGAAUUACUGGGCGUAAAGCGUACGCAGGCGGUUUGCUAAGACAGGUGUGAAAUCCCCGGGCUUAACCUGGGAACUGCGCUUGUUACUGGCAAGCUAGAGUGUGGCAGAGGGGGGUAGAAUUCCAGGUGUAGCAGUGAAAUGCGUAGAUAUCUGGAGGAAUACCGAUGGCGAAGGCAGCCCCCUGGGUUAACACUGACGCUCAUGUACGAAAGCGUGGGGAGCAAACAGGAUUAGAAACCCGAGUAGUCC